UGGGGAAUCUUGCGCAAUGGGCGAAAGCCUGACGCAGCGACGCCGCGUGGGGGAAGAAGGCUCUCGGGUUGUAAACCCCUUUCAGGAGAGACGAAGCUACUCGGGUGAAUAGCCCAGAGGGUGACGGUAUCUCCAGAAGAAGCCCCGGCUAACUACGUGCCAGCAGCCGCGGUAAUACGUAGGGGGCAAGCGUUGUCCGGAUUUAUUGGGCGUAAAGAGCGUGUAGGCGGCCAUGUAGGUCCGUUGUGAAAACUCGAGGCUCAACCUCGAGACGCCGAUGGAAACCAUGUGGCUCGAGUCCGGAAGAGGAGAGUGGAAUUCCUGGUGUAGCGGUGAAAUGCGCAGAUAUCAGGAAGAACACCCGUGGCUAAGGCGGCUCUCUAGUACGGUACUGACGCUGAGACGCGAAAGCGUGGGGAGCGAAC
Molecule: ribosomal RNA, 425 nt
Filed under: uncultured bacterium
Lineage: Bacteria
Description: bacterial SSU rRNA
Rfam family: Bacterial small subunit ribosomal RNA
Source: RNAcentral